Pelobates cultripes (western spadefoot toad) is the source of this 115-nucleotide non-coding RNA. The record is from the annotation of a GenBank genome assembly. Lineage: Eukaryota; Metazoa; Chordata; Amphibia; Anura; Pelobatidae.
CUAUGUACAUUUAAACAAAAUGGAGGCUCUUUAGUUUUAUUCCACUGGCCAUUUGAAUAUUCAAAUGGCCAUUGAUAUUAACUAAAGAGCCUCCAUUUUGUUUGGAUGUACAUAA